RNAcentral lists this ribosomal RNA (350 nucleotides) under uncultured bacterium. Its description in RNAcentral is "bacterial SSU rRNA". It matches the Rfam family "Bacterial small subunit ribosomal RNA", at positions 72 to 422 of the family's 1533-position model. The record is from RNAcentral.
AUCCCAGCUUGCUGGGGGAUUAGUGGCGAACGGGUGAGUAACACGUGAGUAACCUGCCCUUAACUCUGGGAUAAGCCUGGGAAACUGGGUCUAAUACCGGAUAUGACUCCUCAUCGCAUGGUGGGGGGUGGAAAGCUUUAUUGUGGUUUUGGAUGGACUCGCGGCCUAUCAGCUUGUUGGUGAGGUAAUGGCUCACCAAGGCGACGACGGGUAGCCGGCCUGAGAGGGUGACCGGCCACACUGGGACUGAGACACGGCCCAGACUCCUACGGGAGGCAGCAGUGGGGAAUAUUGCACAAUGGGCGAAAGCCUGAUGCAGCGACGCCGCGUGAGGGAUGACGGCCUUCGGG